This is a non-coding RNA of Triticum urartu, 141 nucleotides long. The record is from RefSeq and is a predicted model, not a curated record. NCBI's taxonomy places the organism in Eukaryota, Viridiplantae, Streptophyta, Magnoliopsida, Poales, Poaceae.
GUGAGAUCGAAGAUACUCAUGUGCCCAAGGUGUGUGCAAAUUUUCGUGCUAUUUGGACAUUCCAGGAGCUCGUGGCGAGGAAAAACAGUUAAUCUGCACGCUUGUGAACAAUAAAUUUGAAAUAAAAUAGCAAGAAAAUUU